GACCGCGUAGCUCAGUUGGCAGAGCAUUGGGCUAGUAUUCCAAAGAUCGUAGGUUCGAUUCCCACCGUGGUCA
This 73-nucleotide transfer RNA is filed under the name Paramuricea clavata. It matches the Rfam family "tRNA". Rfam says of the family: Transfer RNA (tRNA) molecules are approximately 80 nucleotides in length. Their secondary structure includes four short double-helical elements and three loops (D, anti-codon, and T loops). The record is from Rfam by way of RNAcentral. Lineage: Eukaryota; Metazoa; Cnidaria; Anthozoa; Malacalcyonacea; Plexauridae.